RNAcentral lists this long non-coding RNA (34826 nucleotides) under Ananas comosus (pineapple). Its description in RNAcentral is "long non-coding RNA (ACOM_LNC043361)". The record is from RNAcentral. Lineage: Eukaryota; Viridiplantae; Streptophyta; Magnoliopsida; Poales; Bromeliaceae.
GAGGCCGGUAUGGCGGAGAGGAUGAUGGGAGCUUCCGAGCCAGGGAACUCUUCUAAUUGCAGGUAAGGUAAAGAAUUGGAGAAAUUGAGGGUGAAGAGAAGAGAGAAUUGGGAAGAAUAAGAAGAGAAGAGAGUAGAGUUGAGAGGGUUAGGGAUAGAAGAGAGAUAGAGAAGAAAAGAGAGAUUGAGGAAGAAGAACUUGUAAUAUAUUUCAUCAUGUCCCCUUACAUUACAGUUCACGAUAUAUAUAUACGUCUAACCUAUCAGUACUGAAAUGAAAUUAACAACUAUGUGGGGGUGAUAACAGCAAAAAUGAUAAAUAAAGGUGUUGGCUCGCUGGGCUGCUAUUGGUGGUUGAUGGGCCUCCGUCUGAGCUUGACUGGUCCAAUACUGCCUGAUAACGAGUAAUAGGAUCUCGGGUCCCCCUUCUCUGCACUAUCCACUACCCACCGGGUCGCGGGCUCGCCUUUUCCCUCCGAUCCGCGCUUCGACCAUUCCGCUCCAUCAGGCCGAAGUAUUACUACUUCCUCUGCUCCCUAGAUUCGUUCGAGAUCUUCCCCUUCUCCCUCUCCAACGAUGCCCUACUCCCCUCCAUGGCUCACCGGAACCCCUCUUCUUCGCUGGACCAUCUUGCCUAGCCGGACUCGCCUCCGACGCACCGCUCACCGGACCCGCUCGCCGAUCACUCCGCUCCACCUUGCUGCCAGCACUUAUCUCUUCUACUUAGUAAGCUACCUUCUUCCCUUCCUUCUCCUACUAAUUACUACUCUUGUUAUUCGCAGGCCUUACAACGCCGCAGGGACUACCGUUGCUGCUGCGGCCUCCUCCCUCCGUCUACAGGUUAGCUAUAAAUAAGGAUAAGAGUAAGAAGAAUAAGUCGAUCGAGGAAUAGCCAAGGAUCAGAGAAUAUAUAGGAUUUUUGCUAAUUCUUGAUCAUGGCAUCCCCACCCAACAGAGACCAGCAACGGGAGAAAGACUACGCAGAUGCCGACGUUGGGGCUUAUCAGAGCGCUGGCCUUCCUCGGCGUAGCGCUUAUUUCCAAGUUGGUCGGAGGGGCCCUCCCCGCUCGACAAGCUAUACCAAGAUCGACACCUGUGGAAGAGGCCCGCAACAGCACCAGGUGAGAUAAUGGCACGGGGAAGGAGACGCAGCGACGACCACUGUUCCGGCCACUGUGGCCUCCUUCCUCUGUCGAGAAUUCUACAUAACUAAUCAAUCCCCCCAUGUUUUUUCUUACUAAUCACAAACUUUACGCACAUACAUGCAUGCAUCUUAUUUUCAGUUUCUUGGUAAUUACAACGGUGGUGCAAUUUGAUAUAUAUAUAUAUAUGUAUAUAUGUAGUAGGGUUGCAAAAGAAGGCAGAGGAGGCGAGGAAGAGGGAGGAUCAAGAAGAAGAAGAUAAUAGUGAGACCCAAAAUAUUAUUUUUUACGGGAGUUUAUUUGGAGAUAUCUUAGAUUGACAAUCCACCUUACAAUAUUCUCUAAUUUCCUACUUUUUUUCUCCCCCUGUAGAUGUGUUCGAGAAGAUCAGUCUUCUGUGACGCUUAAGUUGUAUUACCUUCAAAAUGGAAGUGCAAGACUUGGAUUCUGGUAACUGCUCAUGAACUGAUACUAUAUCUAAUUUUUGAGAUACUGAAAGUGUUAUUUGCUUAUGAUGUUUUUAGGAUUAGAGGGAGGGAAUUCUUGCUUCCUGUGGGGAUUGUUUUAAAGGUGAUGUGUAACGAACACUUCUAUCAGAGACAUUUGUUUCCUACCUUGGUGGUACUCUUGAUUUUUUGCUAUUAAUUAUAUCGAAUUUUCUGUUUGGCUUUCUCUACUGUUGUUUUGUCAAAACCAAUACUUAAGUGAUUUCUUUGGAAAUCUAAAUGUGUUUCUUUUAAAUGUGCAGUAUUUUGAAUCAUGCUUCAUUCUUUAAAUUACAUAAUUUGGCUCCACAUCUUUUAGAUUUUUAGACUACAUGUUUAUUUGCUCUGUAAAAUCAAUUAUCUUUGACUCUUUAGAUGGCGUAACUUGGCUUUAGAAGAAUUGAACUUUUCGAAAACAUGAUGUAUUAUGAAAGCAUUUUGUAGUGGUUCUGCUCAUGAUGUUAUUUGGUUAAUAUGAAGGUUGUAAGUAGCUUGGGUUCAUCUGACUCUAAAGAGCAUUUGUUGGCUUGAGUAGUAUCAUUGUUAAAUAGUUCUUUUGCAACUUAUCAAAAGUUGCUCUAACAAUGCAAUUUUCCGUUGCUAAGUUAUCAUCUCAUUUUAUUUCACUUUAUAUCUUUUCGAUUGUUGUGAUGAUGUUUUUUUUUUCUUUUAUAAUCAAUUUUCAAAGUUACUGCUUCACUUGAUCUUUUGCUACUAUUGUUUCAUCUAUUGUAUAUAUGAGUUGGAAACAGAUAUUACAAUUUUACUAUUAAUUCUAAUUUAUUUUUUUCUUCUUAUGUAUACCAAAUACUUUUAAUUACCUUCAAUUUAUUUACAUACAAUUUUUGACGAAAUCAGGUUUUCUUUAGUCCACGUGGAGGUAUUUCCUUAAUUUGGGCAGGUAUACUUUUUGAUUAAAUUCCAUUUUCUUUUGUCGACAUAUCAGUAUUUUCUUAUAUUUGAGCUUUUGUACGAAAUACCUGUCAGUUUAACUAUUUUGCUUAAUUAUAGGUUUGUAUAGGAUUUGUGUCAGCACUAUGUGUCAGCUUAACUUAUCUAUCAGCUUAACUCAUAUUUUACAAAGUAAAUUAACUAGGAUGGCAAUUGCGAAAUAAUUGCAACCAGUGUGUUCUGUAUAUUAUUUUUUUCGAUUGUUGUGAUGGUGUUUUUUUGCUAUUCCUGUUUAAAAUUAUUUACUAUAAGUUCUGCAAUUUAUAUAUUCUAAUUAAUUUUGUAAGUUGCUGCUUCACUUGAUUUUUGUACUACUGCAAUCGUAUAUUUUUGGGACAGCCGGUUAGUAACAUUUCUUAACCAACUUUUCCUAUUAGUCUUAUUUCAUUCUUUUUUUAAUUCUUUAUUGACUAUUGUCUUUUCUUUCAUCUAACUCUUGCACUCUUUCCUCGACUUCUACAGCUCUUAAUUUUGUUGUAUCUAUGGUCAUUCCUGCUGCUGGUGCAUUAACUGCUUAUACUUUUAUUUGUUUGUUAUUUAAAAUUUUAUAGUUCUUUUAUGUAUUUACUAUUUCGUCUUUCUUUAGCUUUUUUUUAUAAGAUCUCAAAUAUUUCUUCAGUUUAACUACGCAUCAAAUUUUAUUCUUUUAUGUUUUAUUUUUCUUACUCUUUUUUUUUUUCUCUAUGUUGCAAGUAUGAUAUGUUAUUUACAUUAUAACGAAAAUAAUUAAUUAUUAUAAGUUAAAUAUCGAAUAUUAUCUACCCGCCGCAUCGCGCGGGUCACUGCACUAGUAAUACAAUAUGUAAGCAAAUAAAAGGAUAACAAGUAAAUUAAACAAUUUCAUUACUGAGUCAUAUCUCUACUUGAUAAAAUUAAAUACCAUGUACAUUAUGUUCUAAUGCCACAUGUUCAGUUAUAUACUUAUGCAGGUUUACAUACAUGUUCAUCUUUACUGGGUUAAUUACACCAAUGGUCCCUAACAUUUACACUGUUUUUCAAUUUGGUCCCUAACUUUUUGUUUUUUACAAUCACGUCCCUAAUCUCUUAAUUUCAUUACAAUUAAGUCUCAGUUGUUAGAUAGGUGUUAAAAUUAACGAAAAAUGCCACGUCAGCACCACGUCAGCGCCACGGAAGUGUCGUGUCACCGCCAUGUGGCGCUAUGUCAGCGAAUUGCAAAAAAAAAAAGGGUUGGGGAUCAAAUUAAAAAACGGUGCAAAGGUGGGGGACCAUUGGUGUAAUUAACCCAUUAAAUUUAUAAAUUCAAAACAAGAUUUUUAAUUUAAUAUUUAAAUUUUAAAUUUUAAAUUUUAUUUUGGAUUCAAAUUUAAAUUGGAAUUUAUAUUUUGAUUUUGUAUUUAAUUAUAAAUUUUUAAUUCUAAAUUUAAAUUCACAUUUCAAAUUCUAAAUUCUAAUUUAAUUUCAAACUUUCAUUUGAAAUUUCAAAUUCAAAAUGUGAAUUUGAAUUCGAAGUUUAAAUUCAAAUUUAGAAUUGAAAUCAAAUCUUAAAUUCAAAUUUAAAAUUUAAAAGCAAAAUUUUGAAUAUGAUUUUAAAUUUAAAUUUCGGUUUCAAAACUUUCAUUUUAAAUGUAAAUUGAAAUAUAUAUCAAAAUCAAAAUCAAAAUUUUCAGUUUGAAUUCAAAAUUUAGCUUCAAUUAAAAAUUUAAAUUUAAAGUUUGAAUUUAAAUUCAAAAUUUUAUUUCAGCUUUAAAUUCAUAUUCAAAAUUCUAAUUUCUCGUUAGUUUAAAAUUUUAAUUUUAAUAUUAUUUUUAAAUUUAAAUUUAAAUUUUUGUAUUUUUAUAUUUAGGGACUAAAUUGAAAAACGUGCAAAGUUUAGGGACCUAAAUUAACAUGCAAAAGGAUGCCAAAUAGGCGCUGACGUGAUGAUUUUGUCAAUUUUAAUCCUUUUUUUAACGAUUGGAACGUAAUUGUAAUAAAAUCAAAAGAUUAGGGACUCAAUUGUAAAAAAAAGAGGUUGAGGACUCAAGUGAAAAUUGGUGCAAAGGUUGGGGACUAGGUGUAAUUAACCCCAUCUUUGCUAUAAUGCCACAAAAAGUAAUUUAUAUCUUCAUUGCUAUUAUAACUGUACAUUUAUACUAAUCAAUAUAGAUGUAGGUUUACUACCACUAAAGUUUUCAAUACCAAUAAUGAGUAGCAUAAAGUCCAUUUUCUAGAAAUCCAUCAAAAGAGCCACGAGAUAGUAAUCCACUAGUAUGUCCAUCUACUAUAUAUGCAUUAACCACGGGUGAUGUAUAAUGUCCAGUUAAGUCACAUUUAUCCAAUUAACGAGGGCUUUACACGUGGUAACGUCCCGGCUCGUGCCAUGCCGAAUGGCACUGUGGUAGCAUACACUCCCCAUGGCAGUCCACUUCGGUGCCUAAUCCUACACGAACGAUCUAUCGUCGCAAGGCCAACUCCGGAGUGCCGACUUGUAGGGAGCGAUCCUCACAAGUAUGUGCGAAUGAGUAUAAGGGCAAGUAAGCGUGAUCAUAUAUAACAUAGGGUCCACAAAUCAAAUACUCAAUCAUCAUGUCUAAAAUAUGAAAUUUCCUCAUCGACUCGAUGGUCGGAUACUUGAUCAUUCAUGUCAUGAUUUGUUCACAAUUACUUGGGUGGUAUACCCCUACCAAUACAUAAUAUGCCUUAAAUAUGUAUUAGUUCACAUCUCUAUAUCCUAUUUAGGAGGACUCACUAUUUUGGCUACAAUCCAAUGAGGUUUCAUAAACAUGCAAUUCCCACUAUAGUUAAGGAAGUCAUUUUCUAAUGCCAUAUGCAAAGGAGUUACAAGAUGUUCAUAAGAUUAUAAUACUAGUUAUGCACAUGCUUUCUACCAAAACCUCCACUACAUAGAGUAAAUGAAUUAUCAUACAAGUGGCUUCAUUCGACUAAUGUUAUAUGCAAGUGGCUUCAUUCAACUAAUCUCAUUCCUUAUGUCUAAAACACGGAAUACAACUAUUGAUCUCUAGAUCGAAUACAAUAUCAUAAUGUCAAAUUCUAGUUGUUCAAGUAGGUUAAAUACACCAUGCUUAGCUUCAUGUUUAUUCUUAUCAUGCACUAUAUCACAUUUACCUUAUCUAUCACAAGUAUAUAGUUCAACAUGCAAGUUAAACACUUUUUCUAUUCCAUUCACUAAGUAUACUCUAUAGGAUGAACCAUCAUUCUUCUCUAACAUGCUUAAGAGGAAAUCAUCAAGAAGUAAUAUUACACACCAUCUAGAGCCAUUUUGUAUUCAAGUCCACAUAAUAAUACUCUACUAAAUAGAGUAUAGUAUUUCUACAUGUAUCAUGAAUGUAUCAUGUGUUCAAAAAUUCUACCAUGUCAUAUUUAGUAUGAAUAUGCAUCAAAUUAUAUCUUAAAAUUAUAGGGAAGACAUAGAGAGUUCACCCAUUUCGGCAAGGUCAAACCCACUGAAUACUCCUCAAAUCCUUUCGUUCCUUCGAACGAAGUUUUCCACCAAGCUUUUAAUAUCCUAGAAGAAUUUCUAAAAGUGUUACAAGGUUCGAACGAACAUCAUACAAAAAUACCCAAAAAUCUAGUCUAAAUAAGUAGAAAAAUACCUUUAUCUAAGAAGAACUUGAUCAAAAUCCAAAUUGAAGCUAUAAAGCUUUAAAUCCAACCUAAAAGAGAGUUCUACACUUAUCAAUUAAGUUCUAAAAACAUCACAACAAAAAACCCUAGAUUUUUCAUAACUAGGUUUUCAUCUGUAAAUCUUACAAAAUCUACACAUAAAUGUUGCAAUAAGAAUACUAAUCUUCAAGAAAUCUCCAAAUCAAGCUAAACUUGAGCUAGGGUUAGAGUUUAAUUCUAAAAGAAUUUGGGAGAGAAGUCCUAGAGAGAGAUAGGGGAAAAACUCACCUUCACCCUCCUCAAACCUCAGCACAAAGAGGGCCAUGUAGUGGAAAGGGGAUGUCUUAUACAAACUAUAACAAUUUCCAAAAAGCCCCUUAAAACAUCCAAAAAUAGCAAACACCAUGAAAUGCAGUUUCUGCACUACGUACCGGUACCCGGCACCCAGACCUGCCAAACCUGAGCCUCAGUAAAGGGGUCUGUUUACGGUGUACCGGUACCCGCUCGUUACAGUACCUAUACCCGACCCUAGUAUCGGUACUUGGCAACUCUGUAGCAGUACUCAGCACCCCUCAGUCUAAACCCAAGAGCAGCUCUCUCGGACGCGCAAUGGGGUUCCGGUACGCCACCCAGGUACCGGUACUCAAAAUUUCAAAACCUGAAUUUAUAGAUUUUGGUGCUAAAUACUCCUCCUCGCGUUCUCGAACCACGAGUAAUAGGUCGAUACUCAGUCAACGACCUUCUAAAACAUCAGGAAUAGUGCAAAACACUAUUCUAACACUUGAACCUUAUAAUUACUAAAGUUCAAUGUGCUACAGUAAAACUAUCCAAAAUAUUCGAUAUACCAUACUCGAUCCGAACCCAAACCGGACUCUAUCUGGACGCGAACCGGACCUGAUAAAAAAUGAAUAGUAUAGGGAUAAAAAAAGUUACCCAUUAAAAUUUCGAGUAUGGGUCCGGCCUCCAACGGCACUACCACGACGCACGCACGCUCGAACGGCUCCUCAGUGCAACGUCGACGUCGGUCCGAGCUCAUACCGCGACAACCAUCUCGAACACGAUCAAAACUAGAGGGAGAGGGAGAGAGCAGUAAACAAAACCUCACUCUCUACCUCUCUACAAGUAUAUAAAGGGCUGGGGAAAGAUAGGAGUUAACAUCACUUCAAAUGACCAAAAAGCCUCUCACCAACUCCAAAUCCCAGCUGGAGUAUCGGUUCCAGAUUUGGUUACCGGUACUCGGCCCCUCAGCCCGCAGUCUCGCACACCGGGUACCGGUACUUGCCCGAUGCAGUAUCGGUACUCAGCACCAAAUUGGCAAACCCGAGAGCAGUCUAUUCUGGAAAUACACUAGGGUACCGGUACUCCCUUGCGUGUACCGGUACUGAGCACUGAAAAUCUGCACUUUGCAAAUUCCAAUGUCAAAACUCUGCUCUCGCGUCGUACUGAGUCCGUUUUGUAUCCAUUUCACGCCAAAAUGACUCAGACUUGUCACGACACUCUCCAGAUGUGUCGUCAAACCUCAGAUACUGAAAUCACAUAGGAUGCAGAACACCAGGGUUACUACACAAGCGCUUAUUGUUAUCGAGUUCUCGAUCGUUAGAUGAAAGGAUGUGCGGUUAGAAUGAUAAUAGGAGAGAGAGAGAGAGAGAGAGAGAGAGAGUAUGACUACUAUACUCUUAUGAGUAUAGAGGUCUUUGUAAUGAUAAGUUGUUUUCAAUGAUGAGGUUUACGAAUCGACAAUCCACACCAUUAAAUAUGAUCAAAAAAAUUUGAAACUUCUAAAAAAUUAAUGAAUUUCACAAUUUUUUGAAAUUAUAAUAAAAUUGAUCACGCGGACAUAAAAUGAGCCGUCAAAAUUGAACUACAUCCUAAAAAUAAAUAAUCGAUUCUUUAAUAUAAGAUCAUAAUUAUUGAAUUUUAUCUAUAUAGUAGAUAGAAUUUUUUAUCGAAAAUUCAACCAAUUUUGAUUCUUUUACACUGUUAAAUUAGCAAAUAUUCCAUACCGGAUAUUAAAAAUGAUAAAUUUUGAAAUCUUUAAUCGUAACGCAAUUGAUGUCAAAAAAUUAUGAAAUUAGAUUUCUAUAAGUUUCAAAUGUUCUAAAUCAUAUUUAACGGCAUGAAUGGUCGAUUCGAAAGCUUUAUCAUAAAAAAUGACUUAUAAAUACGAAGGCAAACGUACUUAUAAGAGUAGAGUAACCGAACUCUCUAUCUCUCUCUAUAUAUAAUUUAUCUAAAUUAUAAACUAUUUUAAAUCGACUGCUCAACCUGAUUUUAAUUUUGCUAUCCAACCUAUCAAUUUACUUGAUUUAAACUAGUUAUCAAUACUUCGGUUUCAUAAUUUGAAUGCGGCGUUUAUGUUUACAUGUUUAGUUAGCAUAUGUUAUAUAAUUCAUGCUACUGUAAAUUUAUUCAAAUAAACCGACCGUCCCUAGAGCAAGUGGCAAAGGGCUUGGUGGUUGGUACUCGAGGUCCCAUGUUCGAAUCUUAGUUAAUUCAAAUUUCUAGCUAUGUUUAUUUCUAAAUAAAAUAAACGAAGCGGGUAGCUAGCGUGCUAGCUAUCUCUAAAAAAAAAAUUAUUCAAAUAAAAGUUUAAAUUUUGAAUUCAAAAUAUCUUGUAUAACUCAAAUAAAACAAAUUAAAAAGAUGGACAGUAAAAUUAAAAUCUUGAAAGAUAAGUCAAAAAAGGCUUCAAGUAUUUGCUUCUUAUUUCUUGGCAAGGUGAAACUCAAACAAACCAAACAAAAAAUUUGAUAGUAAAAUUAAAAUUUUGAAAGAUUAAGUUAGCGAGCUCACAACUCACUACAACAGAAUUAGGUUAUAACGACACAUGUUUGGGACACUUUUGUAUAAGUGUCACAUUUAUGUCAAAACUUAAAAAAAAUCCAAGGCCUAAAUAUAAAGUCCAAUCCAACUAAAAAUAAAAGGAUAUUCUACUCAACCCACUCCACUUAGCCCAUUCGGUCCGAUUACAAACAGAAAAGAAAAAAAAAGAAAAAGAAAAGAAAAAUCGAUUAUCAUUUUCCCUUCUCCCCUCACUCAAUCGACUGAAAUCCUAGACGAAGAUCAUUUCCUCUCGUCCUCCUCCGCCACCGAAGCCAACGAGGUAGAAUUCCGGCGGUUGCUAGAUACUUAAAUAAAUGUUGGUAAAUUAGCAGCACUCUUUUAGAUUAUAGCAACUCUCUUUAACUGUCACUAUAUACCUAGCGACCCCACAUAUAGCAACACUUUUCAAAAGUGUCGAUAAAUUUAGCCAGCAACACUUUUUUGACUUAUACCGAUAUUUAAAAGUAUCGCUAUAGAUCGUUUUUGUUGUAGUGACUAUUCAUUUUUUUUAAUAUUUUGCAGGGUGAAACUCGAAAGAGUCUUGUCCACCCAAAAAUUACAAUCACAUGGGACUGAAAAAUAUCUUAUUAUCAUUUAUUAUUAUUUAAAUUCCUAUUAUUAUCAAAAGUAAUAAGGGAUAAAGAAGCAAAAGCCUCAAUUAUUUAACCCAACAAUCCGAAAUUCAUAACAAGCUCCAAGUCCGCCUAAAAAGUUCAUCUUAAAAUAAAUUUUAUUUCAAGGAUACACCUCAAUAACUGAUCGGAAACCAAGCGUGGCAACAAUCUUGUAAUCACUGAAUCCUGCCUUAGUGAAUAUUUUGCGCCAUUCCAGCUCGUCUCUCUCACGUCCCCCAGCCUGGAUCAUCAUCCACAUGUCGAUGAAGAGCUGCGCCGCCGUCGACUUCUCUUCGGGGCUCGACCCGAUCACUGGCUCGAUGACAAUAACCUUUCCUCCGGCCUCUCUCGGUGGGAUCGCCUCCUUGCACCGCCGCAAUAUCCUCACGCAAUCCUCGUCGUCCCAGUCAUGCAGAACCCACUGUGAUCAUCAGUUUCUUUGUAUAGUACGGAUGUUUAAUUGUAGAGCGUUCUAAGUGACUAAAAUUGUAAAAUCCAAUAUAAACGUCAUAAGUAACCACCCGAAAUCUCACUCAUGCAUUUCAGACGGAGUUUUGAGUUCCCAAACUUCUCGAAUUAUAUAUAUGUAGUAUUAAUUUUAGGAGGGUUCUUAUAGCUUAGGGCAAGGGACCUAAGAAAGCUUUAAUGAAAACUGUAAGCAUCUAAAUGUAGUUAACAAACAAUGCUCCGUGUCGAUGCCUACGAGCAGAAUCUAAGCUGCUGACUACCUGUAUGUAGUUUGUGUAAAUUUUUAUAACUUUCAUUGUUCAUAUUUUACUUUUAAGAAAUGCUUGAUGUACCAUAAAAUACGUAUCUUAUAAUAUCAUUAAUAUGUUGAAUUGCAUAUAUAGAGAGUUUGGGGUUUAAAAUAUGGGAUGUAAUAAUGGUGCUUAGGUAGUGUUUUGAGGUUUAGUAAUAAUUUUUGGAGUAUAAUAAUGAUGAUAUCAUGUCAUCUUCAAAUAUUAUUGAAAACUCCAAAUGUUAGUAUAUGUAAAAAUACUGUAUAAUUAAAAAUGCAUGAAGUUAAAAGAGAUAAUUGUCUAUGUACCUCUUAAAACUUUGGAAUUAUCUCAUUUAUUCCUUUUUUUUUUUCUUCUUUCCAAUAUAGUCCUCAUAUAUUUCUUUGUUAUUCCAAAAUAUCCCUUCAAUUAUCACCCGUUAAGUUAACUUAGAUUAAACGUGAGUUAAAUAUCUACAACAGUUAAAAAAAAUUAAAAUGUCAUUUUUGCCCUUAACUUAAGGGCAAAUAAGAAAUGUUGGUAAUGGUAGAAGAGUAUAUUUAAAAAGAUUAAAAAAGCAAAAUACUUUUUGUACCCCUAAUUUUAAUAGCAAAUAAGAAAAAUCGAUGAUGGUAGAAAAAUAUAUUUGAAAGGGUAAAAUAGCAAUUUUAUACAGAUAAUAGAGUUUAUUAAUAGAUUUUAACUCUAGGGUUGCGUUUGGUAUCGAGGACAUCUCGGGACAACAUGGGAUAUCCCCGAGUUGUAACCAAACGGUAGAAGAACAGGGAGGAACGGAUUGUUCUGGUUAAAGCGGGUUAUUCUGAGUUGUUCUAGAACAACCUGUUAAAAAUUGUUCCUAGGAUAACUGAGAACAACUUUAUUCUUCUCUUUAUUUUAUUAGAUAAAUAGAUAUAUAAAUAAAUAUAUUAAUAUAGAUAUUAUUUUUAUGAUAAUAUAUUUAUACUUAAAUUUUAUUAUAUAAUAUAAAUUAAUUAAAUUUGAUAUAUUAUUUAUUUUAUUAAGUUUUAUUAUUUAUAUAUUAAUAUUUAAUUUUUUUAUAUUCAGUAUUAUAUGUAUAAUUAUUUUUUCAUGCAUUAUAUAUUUUUUAAAAUUUGUAUUGAAAUUUAUACUAUUAUUAAUUAAAAUUAUAAGAAUAUCUUUACAUAUAUUAUAAAUAAAUUAUAUAAAAUAAAUUAUUAUUAUAUAUAGUAAAAUAAAUAUACUAUUUUAAAUUAAAUUGUUAUAUAAAAUAUUAUAUUAUAAAUUACUAUAAGAAAUAAUUUUAUAAAUAAUUUUAUAUAAAAUAUACUAAUAUAAAUUAAUUAUUUUAUUUUUAAAAAAUAUUUAAACAUUGUUCUACACUUUUUGUCCCAACGCUAAUAAGGAUAUCCUCUAGAAUAUUCCCGAAUGCAUUCAAAUAUAAAUUUAUAAUUGUUCUUUCUAUAAAACUUAGUUCUCUAACCAAACGCACUCUACGGUAUAUUAGAAAUAGAUUGGAACGUAAAACAAAGUAUUUUCAAUAUUAGUCUUGUAAGAGGAGUAAAUUAGAAAGUCAGAAACUUUUCAAAAAUAUAUAAAUAAUUGCCCCUAAUUAAAAAUACAAUAGUUAUAAUUAUAUGCAUUUUAUUUAAUUUAAUAUAGUAGAAUAUUUAUAAUUAGAAAUAAUUUGUUUAGUUACAUACAAUUCGAAUAAUAAUGUUGGUUAACAGUAGCUUAUUCACCUUUAACAUCACGGCAUCCGCCGGAGGAACGCGCUCGAACAUGCUGCCCGCGAUAAAUUCCACGGGCCCGUCUGCCGGCAGUCCCUGGACCACCUGAGGCAGAUCGAGAACCGCACACUUGACGUCCGGAAAUGCCUCCGCUAUGGCGCGGGCGGCAGUGCCGGUCCCCCCACCGACGUCAACCAGCGACCGCAGCCUGCAAAAGACAUGCCCGCAUUUCCUGACGACCACGUCCAUUAUGAACCUCCCGUCCGCCGCCAUGCCCUCGUUGAACGCCGCGUUGAACUCCGGGUUCCGGCUCGUCACGCCCCAGAUAUUGCUUCCGUACAGCGCCUCAAACGGCGUCGCGAUGCCGUCGGUUUCUUUAAACCAGUCGCCUAAGCGCAGCGACGGCGCCAUCAGCACCGGGUCGAACAUCGAGCGCACAAACGGCGCGAGGCUGCGGCGGCCUCCGGCUUCGUCGACGAGCAGGCGGGACGUCGGCGUGAGGCCGUACAAAUCCUCCUCCUCCCCGCCGGCGGCGUCUUCCGACGUCUGCCUCGUGAAGAUGCGGGAGAAAGCGAGCAUGCGCAUGAGGCGGCGGAGCUGCGGAAGUCUGGCGGCUGGGAGAUCGAGCGCGGCGACGAGGUCGGGGACGGAGGUGGGGCCGCCGUGGCGGUGGAUGGCGUCGGGUAUGCCGAGCUCGACGGCGCACUUGAGCGACAUGGAUUUGAGGAAGACGAACAGGUGGUUCCAUAAGUCGGAUUGAGCCGCGAUGAGUAGAUCGUCGUCCCAGUACUGCUCCAUGAUUUGUUGCUCCAACAAUAUAUUCUACUCGUCGGUGUUUCUUAAUUAAAUAUAUAAGUAUGAAAUAUAGUUCUUUACCAUUUUUUUAUAUUAUUAGCUAGUGUGUGGCCGGGAAUAGAGGGGAGGAUAAGGGCUCCCUCAAACACCAAUUUAGGGGGUGCCCACCCCAAAAGAGUUAUGCAGGAUAAUUAUUGAUUACUGCAUUUCUGGAAUGACUAGGUAUAAUUUAAAGAGAAUCAAGAUAUUAUUUUUUAUACUUAAUUUACAACAACACUUACAAAUACUGUAAACAUUUUUUUGUUUCCAAUUUUUUUUCUUCAUUAUUGAAGAAAAAAUUGUGGUGUUGUCGGAAUCAUCUUUUUUGAAAGAUAUUUUUAUUGUGAUCACGUCCUCCGAAAACGUGCCUUUUGGGAUCAACAGAUGAGAAGAAUUUCAGUAAGAAAUUUAACAUAGAGUCAGAGAUUGUUACAAUACUAAACAGAUUUCAAAAAAUAAUUUUAACAUUGUUGGUUGUAUGGAACAUCCAGAUGAAUACUAAUUAAAGAUAUUAUACUUAAAAAUUUUUAUUAUAAUGUAUAUAAAAAUAUUCUAAUGAAUAUUUUGACUGUAUUUUUUUAAUUAUAAUUUCUUCAAUCUUUAAUUCUUAAAAUUUUAUAUAAUAAUUAAUUAAAAUAAUAUUUAUUUGCAGCAAAACGCAAGUCUAAUACUAGUCCACUUUAAAGGGUGUAUAUGGUACGAUAGAAAAAGGAUCGAUUGUGCUGGCAAGGAUAAAGACAUGAAAAAAAAGAUCGUAGGAGAGCUCUGUAUCCAAUCCCUUCUCUUUGGGCCAUCUUUUCUUAUGCAUGCAUCGCGCGUUCAUCUUUCCUUUCUUCCAAGCAAGCCGCCUAUAGAAGGAUUAAUCUGCUGUGCUUUUUGGCUUUCGUUGAUUAUUAUACCGGAGAGUGAUGUUCCCGGGCAAGCCAUUAAUUAUUUAAUUAGUUAAUCAAUUAUAAAAAUAAAUCAAUUAUUAUGUAAAUACUUAUUAAUUUAAUUAUUUAAUAAUUAAUUAGCUAAUUAUUUAAAAAUUUUAAUUAUAUUAAUUAAUAAUAUUUUAUAAUGAUUUAUAAUUUAAUUAGUACAUAAAUAAGAUAGAGGAUAAUUUAUUCUAUUUAAUAGGCGAAACUACUAUUUUUCUCUCUUACCAGGUGAUUUCAAAAUAAUCCAUUAAGGCUGCGUUUGGUUACAGGAUUUAAUAGGAAUAACACAUUUUAUUCUUGCAAUUCUGCCAAGCAUAAGUAAAAUUGGAAGGGAUAUUUACACUACUACAGGUACAAGAUUUAGUGGCGACAAAUGUUGCCAUCAUAGCCAAAAUUGUCGCUACGAAAAACGUUUUGGCGGCGACAAUUUGUCGCCGCAUGCCGCUGCCUAAAAUUCCGUCGGUAAAACUAUUUGGUGGCGACAUAUAGUCACCGCGAAAAGUUAGAUAAUUAGCGGCGACAUACUGUCGCCGUCAAAACUUUAAAUAAUUAAUUUUAUGUCUACUUUUAUGGUGGCGACUAUUGUCGCCACCAAUUUUUUGAUCUAAAAUUAAUUUUUUUAAAAAAAUAAUUAGUAGUAAUAGAUAUUAUUAAUUUACUAUAAAAAUUUUAAUUGCUCUCAUUCUUAACUUUUAACCUUUAAUUUCAAUUUAAUCCUCUCAAAACCAAAUUAAAUCCAAGCACAUGGCUCAAACACCUUAGAACCAAUAUAUAUUAAAUCUAGUUGAAUCUCUAUAAAGUAUUUGAUCAUAAAAUUAAUCCACACAAAUAAGUAAGACUGAAUCAAAUUUUAAAUAUUAAGAAGAGUACAAAUAAUCAUAUAAGGCAAAUAAGUAACUUAAAUUGUCUCACAAGAACCAUAUUAGAGUAUCAUUGUCAUCUUAUACAAUCACCCAACACAUCCACAAAAUAAAAAACAAUAAUAGUGUUUUUGUCAUUUCUACAUGCUAUCAAAUAUAAAUUUAUCAAAAUAUGUCUAAAUUCUUAAAUUUGAUUCAAUACGUCACGAAAAUACUGCCAAAAUAUUUCUCGUCACACCUCUUAUAAAUCUGCAAAUAAAAAUAAAAAAAAAUUAGCUUUUCAACAUUUGUUGAUCCCUAAAUUGAUGACGGAAAUAAUAUAAGAAUAAAAAGACCAAGUACAUAGAUAACAAUGUCGGCUAUGAAUAAUAUAACAGACAGAAACCAACAUUAAUUCAAUUCACGUAUCCAUGUAUAACUACAAUGGUUAAACAUGUCAGGCAAUAUGGCAUCAAUGAUUCCAGAAGGCAACAACAAAAAAAAUAAGCUUAUCAGGAUGUAGACAAUAUGCUUACCAGGAUGUAGACAUCUCGGCCCUGCAUAAAAAAUACAAGAACAAUUAUGAUAUAAAAAGACGAAAAGGGUUCAUUUCAAACGAUCAAAUAAUUGAGGGGUCCUCAGCAUUUUCAAUCUCCAUAUCAAUUAUGUAUUCUCCAGAGAAAAAAUAACUGUUCAUCUAUAAGCAUAACAUUUCUAAAUGUAACGAGGAAAAAGAAAUUCAUAGGAGGGCACAGAUGUCAAUCAAAAGGCAACAAAGAAAACAUUCCAAAGGCCAGCAAAUUCAACGACUAUAAUAUCAAUGCUUUUACUAGAAUAGAUGUCAGACAUCUUACGUUCAAAAUAACAUCCAGUUGUAAAGAUUACAAUUACAAUAUUAUUUUCACGGGCUUUAAAAACAAAAGCUAUCAUUCUUUGAGUAAAAUACAAACUUGCCAAAACUUCUAUUGGUACAUAUCAUAAUCACUAGCGACGCCAGAUCCAGAUCAUAAAUACAAUCAAAUCAAACUGUAGCAGAAGGUGGACAAGUGGGUAGUUUGGGUUGGGAACUAAAAAAGGGGGUUGGCUCAUGAUUCUAGUUUGAAGAAACUAGGUAGGAAAAGAUAAACAACAGAGUAAUAAGCUUAAGCACAAGGUAAACCUUUUAACAACCAUAGGAUUACACCUAUCACAAUAUCGACAACUGCAUAAAUGCACUGGGUUUCACCUAUCUCGAUAUUGACAACUGCAUUAAUGUUUGUAAACCAAAACUAAUGCACGAAGGGAUUGAAUGAGGCAGACAAGAUAAACAGUCAAUAAUUGCUGAACAUGGAAGUUCCAUUCAAAUAACUGUAAAACAGAAAUAAUUGCUGAACAUGGAAGUUCGAUAAUUGCUUAGUGCAGUAUAAAUCAACUUAGUCUACAAUGCAAACUCAACAUUAGAGGAAAGAACCGAUGAAAGUUCCGAUAGAUCAGCUACCUCAAUAGAACUGUCCGUGUCUGGAGAAGGAAGAGGAGGAAGAGGAGGAAGAAGAAGAAGGGUAAAUACGUCAAUUCACACUAUAAUUAACCAUGGUUAAGUAUUUUAACCGUGGUUAACGAAAAUUUUCUACCAGAUCUGGACGGCAGGGACAUAUCUGCAUAACUUAGGACUUUUGUAGAGACAACUUAUGGAGUUUCCGUUUUGCAGAAAUAUUUUCACAAUUCACUAUGUUUGUAGGGACGUGUAUACAAAUAACCCUAUUAUUAAUAGUAGUAAAAGGUAAAUAAACAAAAGUCCAUACUAUUUUAUCCAACAAUCACAAUUCAUAACAAGCUCCAAGUCCAACUAAAAGUUCACCUCGAAAGAAAUUUCAUUUUAAGGAAACACUUCAAUAACUGAUCGAAGUCCAAGCGUGGCAGCAAUCUUAUAAUCACUGAACCCCGCCUCAGUGAAUAUUUUGCACCAUUCCUGCUCAUCUCUCUCGCGUCCCCCGGUCAGGAUCAUCAUCCACACGUCGAAGAAGUGCUGCAUCUCCGUCGACUUCUCUUCCGGGCUCGACCCUAUCACCUGCUCCACGACGAUCACCUUCCCUCCGGCCUCUCUCGAUGGGAUCGCCUCCUUGCACUUCUGCAGUAUCCUCACGCAAACUUCAUCGUCCCAGUCAUGCAGAAUCCACUGUGAUCAUCAGUUUAUUUUGUGAAGUGCCAACAACUUAACUAUAUAUAGAGUGUUCUAAUUAACCAAAAUUGUAAAAUCCAAUAUAAACAUAUAUCCUAAGUAACCACCAUUUAGAGUAGCUAGUUGUUACUCUGAAGACUGUACUUAAAGUCGAUUAGGAGGCUCGAAAUUUCACUCAUGCGUAUCAAACAAAAGAGCUUUGAGUUCCCAACUUCUCGGAUUACAAGUAGUAUUAAUUUUGCAGUAGUUUGGUAGUGGAAAGAAAGCAGGAGCGGAAUUUUAUUUUGACCUUCAACAUCACAGCAUCCGCCGGAGGAACGCGCUCGACCAUGCUGCCCGCGACAAAGUCAACGGGCCCGUCGAUGGUUCCUAGGGGAACUGAGAACAACGGGCCCGUCGAUGGUUCUGAAACAAUCUGUUAAAAAUUGUUCUAAGGAAACUGAGAACAACUUUGUUCUUCUCUUUAUUUUACUAGAUAAAUAGAUAUAUAAAUAAAUAUAUUAAUAUAAAUAUUAUUUUUAUGAUAAUAUAUUUAUACUUAAAUUUUAUUAUAUAAUAUAAAUUAAUUAAAUUUGAUAUAUUAUUUAUUUUAUUAUGUUUUAUUAUUUAUAUAUUAAUAUUUAAUUAUUUUUUUAUAUUCAGUAUUAUAUAUAUAAUUAUUUUUUCAUGCAUUAUAUAUUUUUUAAAAUUUGUAUUGAAAUUUAUACUAUUAUUAAUUAAAAUUAUAAGAAUAUCUCUACAUAUAUUAUAAAUAAAUUAUAUAAAAUAAAUUGUUAUUAUAUAUAGUAAAAUAAAUAUACUAUUUUAAAUUAAAUUGUUACAUAAAAUAUUAUAUUAUAAAUUACUAUAAGAAAUAAUUUAUAAAUAAUUUUAUAUAAAAUAUACUAAUAUAAAUUAAUUAUUUUAUUUUUAAAAAAUAUUUAAACAUUGUUCUACACUUUUUAUCCAAACGCUAAUAAGGAUAUUCUCUAGAAUAUUUCCGAAUGCAUUCAAAUAUAAAUUUAUAAUUGUUCUUUCUCCAAAACUUAGUUCUCUAACCAAACGCACUCUUAGGAGUAUAUUAGAAAUAGAUUGGAACGUAAAAAAAAGUAUUUUCAAUAUUAGUCUUGUAAGAGGACUAAAUCAGAAAGUCAGAAAUUUUUCAGAAAUAUAUAGAUAAUUGCCGCUAAUUAAAAAUACAAUAGUUAUAAUUAUAUGCAUUUUAUUUGAUUUGAUAUAGUAGAAUAGUUAUAAUUAGAAAUAAUUUGUUUAGUUACAUACAAUUCAAAUAAUAAUGUUGGUUAACAGCAGCUUAUUCACCUUUAACAUCACGGCAUCCGCCGGAGGAACGCGCUCGAACAUGCUGCCCGCGAUAAAUUCCACGGGCCCGUCUGCCGGCAGUCCCUGGACCACCUGAGGCAGAUCGAGAACCACACACUUGACGUCCGGAAAUGCCUCUACUAUGGUGCGGGCGGCAGCGCCGGUCCCCCCACCGACGUCAACCAGUGACCGCAGCCCGCAAAAGACAUGCCCGCAUUUCCUGACGACCACGUCCAUUAUGAACCUCCCGUCCGCCGCCAUGCCCUCGUUGAACGCCGCGUUGAACUCCGGGUUCCGGCUCGUCAAGCCCCAGAUAUUGCUUCCGUACAGCGCCUCAAAUGGCGUCGCGAUGCCGUCGGCUUCUUUAAACCAGUCGCCUAAGCGCAGCGACGGCGCCAUCAUCACCGGGUCGAACAUCGAGCGCACAAACGGCGCGAGGCUGCGGCGGCCUCCGGCGUCGUCGACGAGCAGGCGGGACGUCGGCGUGAGGCCGUACAAAUCCUCCUCCUCCCCGCCGGCGGCGGCUUCCGACGUCUGCCUCGUGAAGAUGCAGGAGAAAGCGAGCAUGCGCAUGAGGCGGCGGAGCUGCGGAAGUCUGGCGGCUGGGAGGUUGAGCGCGGCGACGAGGUCGGGGACGGAGGUGGGGCCGCCGUGGCGGUGGAUGGCGUCGGGUAUGCCGAGCUCGACGGCGCACUUGAGCGACAUGGAUUUGAGGAAGACGAACAGGUGGUUCCAUAAGUCGGAUUGAGCCGCGAUGAGUAGAUCGUCGUCCCAGUACUGCUCCAUGAUUUGUUGCUCCAACAAUAUAUUCUACUCGUCGGUGUUUCUUAAUUAAAUAUAUAAGUAUGAAAUAUAGUUCUUUACCAUUUUUUUAUAUUAUUAGCUAGUGUGUAGCUGGGGAUAGAGGGGAGGAUAAGGGCUCCCUCAAACACCAAUUUAGGGAGUGCCCACCCGAAAAGAGUUAUGCAGGAUAAUUAUUGAUUACUGCAUUUCUGGAAUGACUAGGUAUAAUUUAAAGAGAAUCAAGAUAUUAUUUUUUAUACUUAAUUUACAACAACACUUACAAAUACUGUAAACAUUUUUUUGUUUCCAAUUUUUUUUCUUCAUUAUUGAAGAAAAAAUUGUGGUGUUGUCGGAAUCAUCUUUUUUGAAAGAUAUUUUUAUUGUGAUCACGUCCUCCGAAAACGUGCCUUUUGGGAUCAACAGAUGAGAAGAAUUCCAGUAAGAAAUUUAACAUAGAGUCAGAGAUUGUUACAAUACUAAACAGAUUUCAAAAAAUAAUUUUAACAUUGUUGGUUGUAUGGAACAUCCAGAUGAACACUAAUUAAAGAUAUUAUACUUAAAAAUUUUUAUUAUAAUGUAUAUAAAAAUAUUCUAAUGAAUAUUUUGACUGUAUUUUUUUAAUUAUAAUUUCUUCAAUCUUUAAUUCUUAAAAUUUUAUAUAAUAAUUAAUUAAAAUAAUAUUUAUUUGCAGCAAAACGCAAGUCUAAUACUAGUCCACUUUAAAGGGUGUAUAUGGUACGAUAGAAAAAGGAUCGAUUGUGCUGGCAAGGAUAAAGACAUGAAAAAAAAGAUCGUAGGAGAGCUCUGUAUCCAAUCCCUUCUCUUUGGGCCAUCUUUUCUUAUGCAUGCAUCGCGCGUUCAUCUUUCCUUUCUUCCAAGCAAGCCGCCUAUAGAAGGAUUAAUCUGCUGUGCUUUUUGGCUUUCGUUGAUUAUUAUACUGGAUAGUGAUGUUCCCGGGCAAGCCAUUAAUUAUUUAAUUAGUUACUCAAUUAUAAAAAUAAAUUAAUUAUUAAGUAAAUACUUAUUAAUUUAAUUAUUUAAUAAUUAAUUAGUUAAUUAUUUAAAAAUUUUAAUUAUAUUAAUUAAUAAUAUUUUAUAAUGAUUUAUAACUUAAUUAGUAUAGGAAUAAGAUAGAGGAUAAUUUAUUCUAUUUAAUAGGCGGAACUACUAUUUUUCUCUCUUAUCAGGUGAUUUCAAAAUAAUCCAUUAAGGCUGCGUUUGGUUACAAGAUUUAAUAGGAAUAACACAUUUUAUUCUUGCAAUUCUGCCAAACAUAAGUAAAAUUAGAAGGAAUAUUUAAUUCCAGUCAAAGCGAGUUAUUCUAGAUAAUUCUACAAUAAUCCGUUAACAACUAUUCAUCUCCAACAGUGGAAUAGCUGUGUCCUUCAAUUUAUACCCAAAGCAGUAAAUGCAAAAGGUGCCUCGUUGUUUGAGCUCACUUGCCCUACUCUAUACUCAGCCAAAUGCCUCUUUAGUUAAAACUUUUUACAAUUUUUUAUAUUAUUGUGUAUACAAUUUUUGGUCAGCUAUAUCUAAGGUAAAAAUAUUUUAUAAUUAAUUAUUAAAAUAUUUGAUUAGCUAUAUCUAAGGUAAAAAUAUUUUAUAAUUAAUUAUUAAAAUAUUUUAUAAAUAAUACGAAUAUUAAAAUAUUAAAUAUAAUUUUCUUUCACCAAAAUAUUUUAUUGCAUAUAUUAUAUUUUAUAUGAAGUAUUGUUCAUUUUAUUAAAUAUUACAUAUAAAAGAGGCACACACAAGGGCAAUAUUGACAUUUUAGAAAAAUUCAAUCUACUUUUACUAUUUUUCUCUAUUAUUCCUAAGCAAUUUUCCAAACAUAAAUUUUCUUAUUCUUCUGAAAAAGAGAAUUUCAUACCAAAUAUAAAAUUCAUUUUAUUCUUCUGUAUCCUAGAAUACACCUUAAAUCCAAGAAUAAAAAUAUUUAUACUUCUAAAUAUUAUUCCAUUACCAAACACAGCUAAGGAUAGUAAUUCUUAUUCUCUCUUUAUCUCUAGAACCUAACAUGACCUUGAUGAAUGCUUUAAAACUCGGGAACCGGUUCGUAUCAAAUAAGAUGUUGUAUCAUGGCUCAACUUAUUCAACGAAUAGUUUGAUUGAUCGGUCGAACCAGUGAUGUCAGCAUGAUAUCACAUACAAUAAGUUAUUAAUUUUUUGUGUAAAGUAAUAAAGUUAAAGAAGAUAAAUAAAUAUAAGGUAAGUUGCUCGUUUGGUUAUCAAACUUUGAGAUUGGUAACAUUUUGAUGGUCCUCAAAUUUUAAUUUGUUAUAAUUUAGUUUUGAAUUUUUAAAAAUAUUGCAAUCAAGUCUAUAAUCCAAUAUAGGUGAUUAAAUACUGUUGUAUUUCUAAUCUCUACAAAUUCUUGGAUGAGGAUUUAUAGAGAUAACCCUUUUUGGAUUUUUUUUGGGUAAACUUCAAAUACCACCCCUGUGGUAAAAUUGUCAAAAAUAUCCGAUAUACCAUAUCCGAUCCGGACCAAAAUCGGAUCCUAUCUGGACCUGAACCAGACCCGAUAAAAAAUGAAUAGUAUACGAAUAAAAAAAAUUAUCCAUUAACAUUUUGGAUAUGGGUCCAGAUAUGUUAUACUUAUAUCCGUUUUGGAUCCGAACGAACCCAACUUUUAAAUGGGUAAAGUCUGAAAUAGUUUUUAAAUCCGGACUCAAACCAGGACCCAUUGAAAUGUCCGAUAGUAAAUGAAAAAGAUUUGAAUUUUUGAGAGAUUAUUAGAAUGAGGGGUCUCUAAGUAUUUUCAUUAUAAUGAAACACUAAAACUUUAGCCGCUCUUUUACUCUAUUUUUUUUUCACUUUUUUUACUUUUUAUUUUUUUGUUCCAUUUCCGCCUAAGAGUUUUUUAUGAAACAAUAUUUUUAUCGUCGUCAUUAUCAGCGAUAUUACCUACCGGCGUGGCACGAGUUAGUUUUUUUCUAAAUUCCUUCUCCAAUUAAUCACAGUCGGCAACCUAGUUUUUUUAAUGAAUAUUCUAUUUAGUAAUAAUUUUCUAAUUUCCCUUUUUUUUUGAAUGUUAGUGUAUAAUAUUAGUAAUUACUACGACUUAUAUUCUAUUUAUAAAUAAUAUAGUAUCAUAAUUUUUUUAUUUUUGUGUGUUUACAUAUGAAAUUGUUUUCAAUUUUAGGCUUUUAAUCAAUUAAUGUAAUGGCUGAAACACGUUCUGUCCGUACUUGGUCUUGAAUGGAUAGUAUAUGAGUAAUCACUAUUCAGACCCGUUCAAAUAGAUCCGAUGGGUAUAUUAGUAACUUAAGUACCUAGGUCCUGACCCGACCCGAAGUUAAAUGGGUAGAUUUUUUUUUUCUGACCAUUUCUUUUUAGGGUACGGAUAUAGUAUAUCAACUAUCUAGAUUUGACCCGAUCAACAGACAUCUUUACCCUGUGGUUUCGCACUUUCUCACUUUAGUACCAUGUGAUUUAAAAUGUAUCAAUUUAGUAUCUUAUAAUUUCUUUCUUUUUUUUCGUCAGCUCUUUUAACAUUUCUUUAAAUUAUAUACAAAAAACUUCAGCUACCCACUUAAAUUUAUCGAAUAUUCACUUUAGUAUCUUUUAGUUUUAAUUUUGUCACUAUUUAAUGAAAAAAAUUAGUGAAAAGAAUAAUAAAAAAAGAGAAAUAAAAUUAUGAGAUAUUAAAUUGAUAUAUUUUACAUCAUAGGAUACCAAAAUUAAAAAAAAGGGAAAUCAGAGGAGUGGUAUUUGAAGUUUUCUUUUUUUUUCUUUUUUUUUUUACGUGACCUGUAGCUAGGUUUGGCCCUAGAUAAGAGACCUCCGAAUUACACCCCAUGGUACACACUAGCUAAGUGUAACCUCUUUUGGCUAAAAAUAUUAUUUUUAUAUUAUAAAAAUUUAAAACUAAUUAAAAAAAUAUUUUUUUUUCUUAUUUUUUACUAUAAAAUUGAAGCUGCAUUUGCAAGCAUAAUUAAAAUUGGUAAGAAAUAAUUGUAAAUACUUUAAAAUUUUUAAAAUAUUUUAUAACAUAAGAAUAAUAUUUUUAACCAAUUUAUUAUCAAACAAGAUCUUUGUCUUCUCUUUUGAAAACAUUCUACUUGUACAUUUCAAAAGAGACGUAAAUUUUACACCCUUCCGUCUUUAAGUUCAUAAGAAUUUAAAUAAUUUAAAAUAAAAAUAAAUAAAAAUUAAUGUAAAAUUAAUAUGAUAAAUAAUCGCCGGUAGUUGUUGAAUAAAAAGAGCGUCAAAUAUACAACUCACUUUGAAAUAUAAUACAAUAGCAUUGCUCCUCUUGCUUGUAGUUGAGUCUUGCUUGUAGUUUAGUUUUUGUUUGUUUCUUAAUUUAUGCUGUUUUUUGUUUUCUUCUUCUAUUUCGUUGUCUAUAUCCGAAAACAAAAGUGUCGUGGAUUACAAGUUGACAAUCAUGUUUGUGCACAGUUUUGAGUGGAUAGAGCAAAUGGCAAAAAAAAGGUUAAUGCUUUGGGGCCAAAGUAAGGAUUAGAAUCUUUAUGCACCUUUCAUGCAUUUUCAUAUUUAUAUAAGUUUAAAAAUUUAUGGUAAAAAUAUAUAAAAAAAUUAGACGAUCUGAUGAAUCGUAUUCAUAUGAAAAAUGUUAAAUUUUCUUUUUAUAGAUAAAACUAUAUAAAACCAAUAAUAUUCGUUUUUUUCUCGUAAAUUUUGUAGUAUGAACAUAUAAUUAUAUAUACCGACCGUUCCUAGAGCAAGUGGCAAAGAACUUGGUGGUUGGUAUCCGAGAUCCCAAGUUCGAAUCCUAGUUGAUUUAUAUUUCCAGCUAAAUUUAUUUCUAAAUGAAAUAAACGAAGCGGAUAGCGUGCUACCUAUCUCUCAAAAAAAAAAACAUAUAAUUAUAUAUGCACCCUAGAUAUUCAUUCUUAAUCUUUUUCUUUUCUUAAUUGAAAGCCCUUGAUUACAAACUUUUAAAUUAAAUUAUUCUAGUUAUUUCAGAUAUAUUAUUUUAUUUAGGGUGAGAAAACAAUUUUUGUUAAUCAUUUAUGUAUCAGAUAUAAGCGCUACUAGCCAAGUAAGCAAGAUAUGAUUGGUAUACAGAUUAAUUGAUCAAUUUAUUGGUACAGCAAAUAUUAUUCUAUUUUGUGUAAUAAAACAAAUUACAAAGUAUUUUUAAAGUACAGCUGUCCACUUCUGGGCAAGUGGAUAAGGAGGAAUUCUACACUGUCACAUUUGUACUACGUCAUCAAUAACAAGUCAAUCACAUUUUUUUUUUUCAAAUAAAAGUACAAUAAAAAUAUUUUUUGACAAUCAUGAUGGGACAUAUUCAUAAAAGGAGAUAUUUAAUUGGUUUGUUACGCCACGUUACCAAUAUACGCGUUACAUUCUAAAAUUUUUCGUGGAUAAGGGACUUUGGAUUCGGUACUAGCGGCGUACCCGCGCUUUGCUGCGGGUACGAUGGAUAUAUUUUUAAUUAUAUUUAUAAAAUAUAGUAUAUAUUUUUGUUAAAUAUAUAUAGUAAAUAUAUAUUUAUAUCAACAUUUGAUUUCAAAAUAUAAAAUUUUCUGAAGCAAAAAAAAAGUAAGUUUAUAAUAUGCUUAUUUUUUUAGGCCAGUUCGCCUAAAAGAUACAAAUCCUGUUUUUAUAUUUUGUGGCUUUUUAUUCUUCUAACUCUAUUUAGAUCAUUUUUGUUGAUUAAUAUAAGCAAUGUCAAGAAUUGAAAAUAUUAUGAUAAAAUAAAAGGUAGUUAUUUGAUUCAUAAUUUUUUAAUUGAUUGAUUUUAUGAUAUUUUUCUAGAAUUUAUAAAAAUAUAUUUAAUUUUGUAAAAAAUUCCUAACUUUCGAAAAAUUGAGUACCAAAUAGUUCUCAAAAGUCUAUAAACGUUGGAGAAAUUAAAUAUAAUGUUUUCAAAAUUAAGACGUACAAUACAUAAUUGAAAAAAGUGGGGGGUUCUCUAAUUGGUUUAAUAGUUGAUAGGCAAUAAAGCUAUUAAAUCUAACAAAAUUUUAAACCAAUUUAGAAUAUAUAUUUUAUCAACAAAAAAAAAGAACAUAUACAGUUAUGUUCAAAUACCCUUAAAAUCAUAUCUUUCAAAUGCAAAAUUAAAAACUCAAUGCGUUAGUAGUAAUGGAGGAAGAUAUGGUGGUUGACCUCGACAAAUCGGGCUGGAGCCUCAUCUCAGCAUCUUCAUUGGCUGCGGCAACGACGAUGGCUUCGAAAGAAGUGCAGCAGUGCGCUACAGCGUGGCGCUAUUGCUGCGAUUCACUUCGCUUUGGACUCUUCGAAGUUGCAGUUGAUUGGAUUGACACCUAUAAAAAUCUAAAUCGGAGGUGUCGAUGUAUCAGGUCGACAAAGAGCGAAAAAAGGAGAGGUGCCAGUUGCUAGGAUGUGGCGUGGGGAAAGGGUGUCAAUCAAAGUGAUGGCCAGAGAGGUAAGAAAGUAGAAGGGGACAAUAUUGCCUGAACCUGACAUAUGUCACAUAUCCCUCCACACAUGCAUUAUAUUUAAAAUUUUUGUAACCAAUCUAUAAUACAUUGGGUCCAAGUAAUAUUUAAAUAUUUAAACGCAUACAUGUGUCAACAAAAAAAACCACCUCCAUAGGCUCUAGUAUAUAGUAAUAGAUGGUAUAGGGGCUUAGGGGUUUGGAGCCUAUAAGCAUGCUAAAAAAAUCAAAAAAAAAAGGAAAAAAAAGAUGGUGCAUAGCAAACCCUCUGCCAUAAAUUAAAAAAAAAAGAUUUUUUGCUUAUUUAUUCUUAAUAGUAUUCAAAGAUUUUAAACUUAUUCUAAAAUUAUCAAAGAUAUUUUUCUAAAACUAAAUCCUACUAGUAAAUCCGGAAAAAAAAAAAAACAAGAAUAUUUGAAGGAAGAGAGUGGGUGAGAGGUCCACAAGGAUUCUGUGCUUGCGGCAUUGCGGUGAGCUGCAUAAUUUGUUUCUUGAGUUUUCAUUUUCCGACGAAAAUCGGCAAAAAAUGAAAAUACCUUUCCUUCUAAAAAAAUAAGUUUUUGAAAAAAAAUUUACGUCUCAAUUAACAAUAAAAUUAAAAAUAAUAUUUUAAACCAAAAAAUAAUUUUUUGUAUAUUUUAGAACAAUCCAAACAUAGCCUAAAGUUCUAAUUUUUAGGCUAAUAUGACCUUAUAUGAAUAAUGUUUGUUGGCUUAAAUGGGCCAGUAUCCUGCCCUGUGGCGAGAGGUCAUGUGGGUCUAGUCAUGUUCGAAAUGGCAUGAGGCUGGGUUGGGCCGAGUCAUGUUCGAAGUGGCGUGAGGUUAGGUUGGCCGAGUCACAAUCGAGACCCGUGGGCACUGUUUCUGUACGCUUUAAGUGAAUUGGUUGUGUAUUUCUAACAGCUCGAGCUUUUGGGAUUAAUGGUUAGCGCCAACGAUCCGACAAUGUUAAGGCCACGAAGACCCAUAAGACUUUCACGUUAGACAUAGAAAUGAAAAAACAAAAAAAGGGUUUUUUUUGCAUUUAGCCCCCUAACAAAUUUUUAUUUUAAAAAUAACCCUGUCAAAAUUUAAUUUACAAAAAUGACACUGAACCUGCCACGCAGGCGCCACGUCAGCCCCACGCGGGCGGGGCCAGGGCCAAUGUAUUAAGUUAAAUACGGUGAACCAUUCACCGUGUUUAGACACGGUGAAUGGUUCACCGUGUUUAACUUAACACAUUGGCCCUGGUCCCGUCCGCAUGGCGCUGACGUGGCGCCUGCGUGGCAAACGCACGGCCAUUUUUGGAAAUUAAAUUUUAAGAAGACUAUUUUUAAAAUAAAAAUUUGCCGGAAGGCUAUACGCAAAAAAAGUUCCAAAAAAAACACACACACACAUACAAAAGGAGGCCACAGCUAUUAAUUUUUGUAUUUUUUCACAAGGUGAAACUCAAAGAAGUCUUAUCCACUCAACAAUCACAUUCAGGUGACACUCAAAAACAUCUUAUUAUUCUUUAACCCCUAUUAUUAUUAAGGGUUAUUUGUAUACACGUUCCUGCAAAUAUAGUGAAUUGCGAAAAUAUUCCUGCAAAACGGAAACUCCAUAAGUUGUCUCUGCAAAAGUCCGAAGUUAUGCAGAUAUGUCCCUUCGGUUAACAUCCGUUAGUGAUCUAUUUAUUUUUUAACAGUGGAUUCGUGAAAUGACCAUUUUACCCUCACAAAUAUAUCCUCAAAAAUGUUUUCCUCUUCCCUUCUCUUUCCUCUUCUUCCUCUUCCGGACCGUCAAAGCGGACGCGAGUGGUGCUGCUUGUGCCACGCGACGGCGGCGCGGGGACAUCGGGUUUCGCCGGCGACGAAGAAGAGGGAAGAACGCCGGGGGCACGGAGCCUACUACCGAGAGCUCGUCUCCCUCAACGCCGUCCCCUCCCUUACUCGUCGGCUCUCCUCGGCCCCACGACAUCGCCGACAUCCAGUGUCAACAUCGUCUCCCUCCUCACCGACACUCUACCGACGCCGGGACGUCGCUCGGCGACCACGGACGACCCCGCGCACGCCCUCGUCCCAGCCUCGUCGAAAACAACGCCCUCGAGCUUUCCGUCCAGAAACUCACAACGCCUUUCCGAGGCGACCCCCGACGGAGGUUCUUCUCCCUCGCUGGUGACGAAGAAGAUGGAAGAGAAGAGGAAGAAGGAAGAAAAGAAAAAGGGAAAAGCAGGAAGAGGGAAGAGGAAAAGUAGAGGGUUCGCCACCGUCGCCGCCGUCUGCUUGCGGAUCGUCAUCUCCUCGCCGCGACGAAGAGAAGGAAGAGCGAAGAGCCGAGGAAGAGGAAGAAAGUAAAUAUCGUCAAUUCACACUAUAAUUAACCAUGGUUAAGUAUUUUAACCGUGGUUAACGAAAAUUUUUUAACAGAUCUGGACGGCAGGGACAUAUCUGCAUAACUUAGGACUUUUGUAGGAACAACUUAUAGAGUUUCCGUUUGCAGAAAUAUUUUCGUAAUUCACUAUAUUUGCAGGAACGUGUAUGCAAAUAACUUUAUUAUUAAUAGUAGUAAAAGGUAAAUAAACAAAAGUCCAUACUAUUUUAUCCAACAAUCACAAUUCAUAACAAGCUCCAAGUCCAACUAAAAGUUCACCUCGAAAGAAAUUUCAUUUUAAGGAAACACUUCAAUAACUGAUCGAAGUCCAAGCGUGGCAGCAAUCUUAUAAUCACUGAACCCCGCCUCAGUGAAUAUUUUGCACCAUUCCUGCUCAUCUCUCUCGCGUCCCCCGGUCAGGAUCAUCAUCCACACGUCGAAGAAGUGCUGCAUCUCCGUCGACUUCUCUUCCGGGGUCGACCCUGUCACCUGCUCCACGACGAUCACCUUCCCUCCGGCCUCUCUCGAUGGGAUCGCCUCCUUGCACUUCUGCAGUAUCCUCACGCAAACCUCAUCGUCCCAGUCAUGCAGAAUCCACUGUGAUCAUCAGUUUAUUUUGUGAAGUGCCAACAACUUAACUAUAUAUAGAGUGUUCUAAUUAACCAAAAUUGUAAAAUCCAAUAUAAACAUAUAUCCUAAGUAACCACCAUUUUUAGAGUAGCUAAUUCUUACUCCGAAGACUACACUUAAAGUCGAUUAGGAGGCUCGAAAUUUCACUCAUGCGUAUCAAACAAAAGAGCUUUGAGUUCCCAACUUCUCGGAUUACAAGUAGUAUUAAUUUUGCAGUAGUUUGGUAGUGGAAAGAAAGCAGGAGCGGAAUUUUAUUUUGACCUUCAACAUCACAGCAUCCGCCGGAGGAACGCGCUCGACCAUGCUGCCCGCGACAAAGUCAACGGGCCCGUCCAGCUGUGCAAGCCCUGGACGCACCUGAGCAGAUCAAGACUGACACAUUGACGUGGGCGGAAAUGCUCCGCGCGACUACGCGGGCGGCAAGCGCCGGUCCCCCCGGACCGUCCGACCUAGUCGACCGCGCAGCCCGCGGAAACAUCGCGGCGAUUAUUCUGACGAACUCACGAUUCCAUUAGAACCUCCAGCCGUCGCGCAUCACCCAUCGUUGGAACACCGCUACAGGCGGCGUUGAAAACUCCGGUUUGCCGUCAAGACGCCCCCAGCAUAACGCUCCGUGUACCAGGGCCGUCGCACCGGGGCGUCGACGCGCCGUCAGCUGCUUAAAAGUCCCUCGUGCAGGCACGCGGCGUGUGCACCUGGGGAUUCGAGCAUGACGGCACGAACGGCCGAGACUAGCGGCGGCCACCGCGUCGUCGCGGAGCAGGCCGGGAUUCGCGUGAGGCCGUACAAUGCGCUCCCCGGUCAGGCGGCUAAUCCGAACCCAUCUGCCUCGUGCAAGAGCGCGCGGAGAAAGCAGCGUGCGAGCGCCUUCCACACCUCUCUUCAACAAUCUCUCAUCUAGACCCCCCUCCCUCUCCCGAAGCGCUCGCCAGUCGCAGCCGCCCCUGCCGCUGUCACCCCCGCUGCCACUACAACAGAAUUAGGUUAUAGAGACACAUGUUUGAAACACUUUUGUGUAAGUGUCCAAUUUAUGCCAAAACUUAAAAAAAAAAUCUACUAAUGCCUAAAUAUAAAGUCCAAUCCAACAAAAAAUAAAAGGUUACUCUAUUCAACCCACUCCACCCAGCCCAUUCGGCCCGAUUACAAACAGAAACGAAAAAAAAAAGAAAAAUCGAUUACCAUUUCCCCUUCUCCUCUCACUCAAUCGACUGAAAUCCUAGACGAAGAUCCCUUCCUCUCAUCCUCCUCCCCCACCGCAGCCAACGAGGUAGAGUUCUGGCGACUGCUAAAUGCUUAAAUAAAUAUUGGUAAAUUAGCAGCACUUUUUUAGGUUAUAAUGACACUCUUUAACUGUCACUAUAUACCUAGCGUCCCCAUAUAUAGCAACACUUUUUAAAAGUAUCGGUAAUUUAGCCAGCAGCACUUUUUUUUACCUGUACCGACAUUUAAAAGUAUCGCUAUAGACCGUUUUUGUUGUAGUCGCCGCUCGUCGUCGCCCCUGCCAAGCCCGCUGCCUCAUUAUAGAGCCUACAUUGUGCUCUCUUCCCUUCCACUAAUUGUGCUUUUCGUUGUCGACGUGUACCGACCUCGCCCUCGCUAACGUGCAAGUAGUUCCUGAACUCUUCUUUUACUUUCUUUGCUGUUUGUUGGCAUUGUUGGCAUUGUGGACACAUCACAUGGCAAUAAGCUAAAAAUAUAAAAAUUAGGCUUUAAAAUUGGGACAUAUUUUACCAAUUGUUAAGCCAUUAGCCAUCAAGUGCGAGAUAUGUUGAGUACAUUGGGAGGGUUUAGUUGGAAAAUAGAUAAGACCCAGAUAAGCUGACAUGUUAUUCCGAUAAUGAAGAUUUGAAUCAUAGUAAUUAUCUUGAGAUUUUGCUUUAUGUUUAGUCAGAGAUUAUGAUAAGACGAUAUCAAACGAUGUCUUAAUUUCUGGUUUUUAAUAUGCCAACUCUUUUCUUCUCUUGGGAGUAGUAGUAAUCAUGUUCAGAUGCAACUUUUUGGUAAAUAUGAGCUCUUUUCUGUCAAAAGUCCUAAUGAAUUGAAACUUAAAAUGUAGAAAAGUUUAUCUGCCGUUCAGCAAUCAAUUGGCGAAGAAUGCAACAAACUUUCCCAAUAAUCUUUAUUGGAUUAUUCUGUGGGAUAGGGAAGCCUCCAUAUAGUCUCUUUCUUUUUUCAUUUAUUAUUUUUUUGUAUUAUAUUUACUAAAUAUUUUGAAAGGAGAUUUGAAAGUUUUUCUAUAUAGUUAAAAUGGUUAGUCGUCGAAUGUCUUUAGUGUUCAUUGGGAUGGACAAUUUGUUACAGAUGGAAAUGGUCCUCAAUAUGUCGGCGGUUGAAAGAAAUUGAUCGCAAUUUAUUCAGAUACGACAUUUACUAAUUUUGAGACGAGAAUAUAUUGUUUAGCAAAUUGUAGUAGAAAAGGAUUUCGUCUCAAAUUCACAAUUUGAUACCCUACGGGAGCAAAUUAAUAUAUAGCUCUCGAAAUAGUAGAUGAUAGAUCAUUGGAGGAAAUGAUUGGAUUGGUUGAACAUUAUGGAUGUGUGUCGGUAUAUAUCGAAAAAGAUUUAUAUCCGUCGAAAACACAAUAUCAAUCUUAAAACUAUUACACAAGACUACUUCAUAAUGAUAUCGAUGUGAUGUUUUUUCGGACAAUCCAAUUGGUGACUGUAAAGUUGGCAAAGAAACAGGCGUCAGAAUGACAAGGUAAGUGAAAUCUCUAGAUUUCAAUGAAUGUUUUCUUUAAUUAUUAAAUACUUUGAUAAUACUAAAUUAUAAAUACUGCAGAUAAAGUCAGUCUCCACAUGCGCAACCCUCAACAUCACAUGUGCAAUCCUCGACCUCACGUGUGCAACGCAUGACCUCACGUGGACAAACCAUGACCUCUUAUGUGGAACCCACGAUAUUCCAUACACUACCGACGAUCUCUUGUGCAGAACCUAUCAUGUCUCAUAUACAAUUGAAACCUUAUGAUUCGGGGUAAAGAAAAUUUUGAUUUUUUUUUUAUUAAUAGCAUGUGAAAAUGUACAUAAUAUAGUAAAGUUUCGGAACCCAUUGCAGGCUAUCUAUGUGCUAUGAACAUUGGAAUAAAGUUCCUACUAAUAUUGUCCAUGAAGGAGGUGAUAAUGAUAGUAAUCAAAAGGAUGCACUCAUUCAUUAUGAUGAUCAUUAUAACAGUAAGGACAACGAUUGGAAUGAUGUAGCUGCAAACAUUGAUGAUGAUCAUGAUGGUGGGUUAAAUUGUCUUGCGAAUGUAAUUUACACUGAAAACGACGACUCACAUGUAAACAACGAAUAUAUAGACAAUCCUGACGAGAAACUUGAUUGUAUUGACCAUCCGGAGCACUUUCCUGUAGAUAACAAUUGGAUAAAUCAAUAUGUUGUGGCUUUGGCUGAGUUCGAUGUUAAACAGACCAAUACCGGUCUACCUAGUAUUGACGGGACUUGGGUUCAUCGAAGCUUUUACGAUAAGGCAUCUUUAGUGGAUGCUCUAGAUCAAUGGCACAUUGCUCAUAAUGUUCAUAUGAAGAUUUUGAAAUCCACAAAACCGUCUUGUACGGUAAAAUACAUGAUUCAAGGAUGUCCUUGGAGAUUACAGCUUCAGUUCCUACAGAUGCAACAUACUUCAGAGUUAAGACAUAUACAGGUCAACACACAUGUGUAAUUCCAAUGCUAAAUGCAGACAUAUGCAGAUCAACACACAUGUGUAAUUCCAAUGCUAAAUGCAUCGCCACUGUAAUUGUACUUCAAGUUUCAUAUGUCAAGAGAUUCUCUCAAUAACGAAGGCAAGACUUAAUAUAACGCUAAAAGAAAUACAGAAAAUGGUGUGAUCCACUUUGCAUGUUGACAUAAACUAUUGGAAGGUAUAGCUAGCAAGGAGCAAAGUAUUACAGAUUAUUUAUGGGAGCUAGGAGCAAUUAUACACAGACUUGCCUCGUUAUCUUACUAUGGUACAGAGAAGUAAUCCUGGUAUUUUAUGGUGCCUUGAUCAUAGAUGACCAUCAGAUAGAAUAUGUCAGUUUGGUCAUAUUUUUUGGUCAUUUGGUCAUUCUAUUUAUAGAUUUGCAUACUGUCAGGCGGUAGUGAGCAUUGAUGGCACUCACUUGUAUGACAAAUAUGAAAGCCAUACAUUGAUAGCGACAGCUAUAGAUGCAAAUGAUAGUAUUUACCCUUUAGCAUUUGCAAUUUGCGAAUAGCAAAAUAGUGAAAGUUGGCGUUGGUUUUUACAGAACUUGCAUCAAUAUGUUACACCCGAUAAGUUUGCUUUAUAUUUGAUUGAUUUAGUGGUUUAAAGAAAAUAGUGGCUGAGAUAUAUCCUCCUCGACAGGGGCAUGCACACCGAUGGUGUCUUCGACACAUGAAAGUAAUUAUGAAUAAGCAUUUUAAAAUGAUUCUAUGCUAUUGGUAGUGCUCCAACAUCAAUAGAAUAUUAUAAGCUUGAAGAAAAGUUACUUGCGUUGGAUCAGGAUGCUUAGAAGUGGAUGGAUGAUCUCGAAGAAUACAAAGAGUAUUGGGCAUGGGCAUUUGAUGGAGGACGACACUUUGGAUUGAUGACAACGAUUAUUUCAGAAAGUUUAAAUGGGGUACUUAUGGUAAUUCAUGCUCUGCCUAUCACAGCUUCUGUCCCGUGAAUAUUUUAUAAACUUAAUAAUUAUUUCUUACAGGGUCGUGAAGAUGGUGACAGUAUGACUGGCACGUUAACUUCUAAAAUACGAAGUCGAAUUAUAAUGAAUAUUGAGACGGCACGGAGACACAUUGUCCAUCAAUUUGGGCUUGUGGAAUUUGAGAUUAAUACUGGAGAUUUCAAAUACAAGGUUUUCCUUAAUGGAACAUGUGUGGAUUGUGAUUGCGGCGAAUUGCAACUAACUAGAAUACUUUGCUCGCAUCUUUUAGUAGUUUGCAGUACUUCACAGAGAAUAAUAGACUUUCAUAAUUUUUGUUCUCGUUGGUAUGGUGUUGAUUGUUAUCGCGAGAGAUACGCACCACAUUUCUAUCCUGUUUCAAAUACACGACACUGGCCCUGGCCCCAGGACUCACCAAUUUUACCGCUUCCCAUGAGAAUGAAGAAAGGUCACCCACGAUCUGCACGUAUUCAUAACAUAAUGGACGAAAGAGAAGGACGACGAACAAAAUAUAGCCUUUGUAAACAAAAAGGCCAUUAUAAGAAUACCUGUCCACAAAAUACACAGAGAGCAUAACAAAGACGUCGACGUAGGACUUAUUACCUAAUAUAAUAACAAUUGCAAAACUUUCAAUAUUUAAUGAGUAUUUUUUAAAUAUUUUAUUAAUUGUAAAAUCUUUAAAAUUAUAGACGGCAAAUCUAGAGGAUGCGGGACCAGUUGAUUCGUUGGUCCCGACAGAGCAGCAUCUCCAUAGGUCUGGAUUUAUUAAGAGUGAGGUGAGAGUAAAAAUUUUAAGUAAAAAUUUAUCAUACUAUUAAUAAAUAGAAAUGAUGAUUUAACUAUUUUUUAACUUUAGGGGUAUCGUGCUAUUCACUGGCCGCAAGUUAAACCAGUGGGAUCUUGACCAUCUAGCAGUACGCGAUAUUGUACUAUAGACCAGAUUCUACUACAUAUCACACCUUAGGCGCUUGCAGCUGGAUCAGGCUUUAUUAGAAGCUACAGUUGAGAGAUGGAGACGGGAGACACAAACUUUUCACUUCCAUCAUGGUGAGAUGAUGAUUACAUUUUAGGAUGUCGCGGUUAUUUUUGAUCUUUGUGUGGAUGGUGAGCCCGUGACUAGUACUAUACAGCACCAGUGGUCAGAUAUUUGUUAGGCGCUUCUAGGAGCUAUGCCGAAUGACAUCAAAGCUGGUCAGAUUAGACUGGAUUGGUUAUACCAGCAUUACCACCACAUACAUUUGGAUGCCUCUGUACGAGUAGUUGCAACUAUAGCACACGCCUACAUGUUAUAUCAAAUUGGGUAUAGUCUGUUUCCCAACCCUACUGGAUAUAGAGUUCAUCUAUAGCUUCCACUUUUAGAGGAUUUUGAUGAGUGUGGCGGAUUAGCAUAGGGGUUCAUCGAGAUUUCGCCGAAUUUUUUGUACUUCGACUUGCUUGCCUAGCCCUCCUGGCUAUCUGGUCAAGUCUUCUUGGAUCUUUUCAUAGACUUUCCUCGCUCUCUUUUCAUCAAGGUCACAACCACCUGUUAUCGUGUGUUGUGCGGAGGCCAACUUCUUCAAAGCGAUUUCUUCGCUUUGGUUUCACUUGAACAUCACCUUCGUCGAUUUGCCACUUGACUUUGACAUAACUAUCUGGUACAUUAAUUCUAUAUUCUUUUCAAAUCUGCAGUCGUCUGGUUUUAUUUUCGGCUCUAAUAACAAUUGUUGGAAGCGUGAUUUGUUUUAAUACCAAUUGUUGGAACUGCUAUUUGUGCUGAUACCGAUUAUAUAAUCCAAAAUUUAAAAUAGAAGAAAAUAAUAUUGAGAAAAGAUAUUGGAGGAGAAAGAAAAAAACUAAAGUAAUACUAUAUUAAUAAAAAGUAAUUAAUGACAUCCUUGGCAACACCCAUUCAACCAUAUCUACUGUGGCUUCUUCAUCUAAUUAACCCAUACCUAAUUAUAUAUAGCCAUCAAAUCAUAACAGAUGAUAAAUCUAACUUUUACUUUGGAUAACUAAUAUCCUACUCUAAUUAUAUAAACUUUUAAAUAUAAUAAAU